Molecule: transfer RNA, 67 nt
Filed under: Elaeidobius kamerunicus
Lineage: Eukaryota; Metazoa; Arthropoda; Insecta; Coleoptera; Curculionidae
Description: tRNA-Phe
Source: RNAcentral
AUCUAAAUAGCUUAUAAAUAGAGCAUAGUAUUGAAGAUACUAAGGAAAUAUGUAUUAUUUUUAGAUA